GACGAACGCUGGCGGCGUGCCUAACACAUGCAAGUCGAACGGAAAGGCCCUGCUUUUGUGGGGUUCUCGAGUGGCGCACGGGUGUGUAACACGUGAGUAACCUGCCCUUGACUUUGGGAUAUCUUCAGGAAACUGGGGCUAAUACCGGAUAGGAGCUCCUGCUGCAUGGUGGGGGUUGGAAAGUUUCGGCUGUUGUGGAUGGACUCGCGGCUUAUCGGCUUGUUGGUGGGGUAGUUGCUUACCAAGGCUUCGACGGAUAGCCGGCCUGAGAGGGUAACCGGGGACAAGAGGACUAAGGGAGGGAGCAGUCGCGAAUGGGAGGCAGUGGGGGGAAGUAUGACACAGUGAGGGGGAGCGUGAGAAAAAGGCGUGGGGAGCGGAAAGAAGGCCUACGGGGGAUGAACCGAUGUAGACUGAGACGUGGCGGGAGUGACGGUAAUGGGUAAAGAAGCACCGGCUAACUACGUG
RNAcentral lists this ribosomal RNA (468 nucleotides) under uncultured bacterium. Its description in RNAcentral is "partial 16S ribosomal RNA". It matches the Rfam family "Bacterial small subunit ribosomal RNA", at positions 28 to 507 of the family's 1533-position model. The record is from RNAcentral.